This 407-nucleotide ribosomal RNA is filed under the name uncultured bacterium. RNAcentral describes it as "partial 16S ribosomal RNA". It matches the Rfam family "Bacterial small subunit ribosomal RNA", at positions 30 to 526 of the family's 1533-position model. The record is from RNAcentral.
AUUGAACGCUGGCGGCAGGCCUAACACAUGCAAGUCGAACGGAGUGGCGGACGGGUGAGUAAUGUCUGGGAAACUGCCCGAUGGAGGGGGAUAACUAAUGGAACAGGUAGCUAAUACCGCAUACUAUCCGAUGAGCCCAGGUUGGCUUAGCUAGUGGGUGGGGUAAGGGCUUACAAAGGAGAAGAUCCGUAACUGGUCUGAGCGGAUGAUCAGUCACACUGGAACUGAGACACGGUCCCGACUCCGACGGGAGGCAGCAGUGGGGAAUAUUGGACAAUGGGCGAAAGCCUGAUCCAGCCAUGCCGCGUGUGUGAAGAAGGUCUUCGGAUUGUAAAGCACUUUAAGUUGGGAGGCGUUACCAACAGAAUAAGCACCGGCUAACUUCGUGCCAGCCGCCGCGGUAAUUC